This 340-nucleotide long non-coding RNA is filed under the name Brassica rapa (field mustard). RNAcentral describes it as "long non-coding RNA (BRAP_LNC006009)". The record is from RNAcentral. Lineage: Eukaryota; Viridiplantae; Streptophyta; Magnoliopsida; Brassicales; Brassicaceae.
UCCGCCAUAACCUAAAAUACUUUCACAUGAAAAAAUUCUGAAAAAACCUUGACAUGUUUUGCUCAAAAAUCGAGCAUAUAAAAAAUCCAACAUAUUUUACUAUCGAAUGUUUGAAGCUAUAUCCGUGACUAGAAACAGAUUGGUAGCCAAAAGCAUUCGGCGAACACACACGGAUCCUAUCAUGUUCUCGACUAGUCAAGUCAGGUGCUUUUUUAUAUAUUGAGGUUAUAAUAAUUGAAAAGAACCUAUUUCCUGUUGUAGGAAAGUGGUAACAAUUAACAAAGAUGUAUGAUUAUCCUGAUUAGCACUAAACGAGAGAGUGAUUAAAGAGGAAGCAAAG